UAGCCUUGACAUACUACAGAAUUUGACAGAGAUGUUGAAGUGCCUUCGGGAGCUGUAAUACAGGUGCUGCACGGCUGUCGUCAGCUCGUGUCGUGAGAUGUUGGGUUAAGUCCCGCAACGAGCGCAACCCUCGUCCUUAGUUACUAACGGUUCGGCCGAGGACUCUAAGGAGACUGCCUUCGUAAGGAGGAGGAAGGUGAGGACGACGUCAAGUCAUCAUGGCCCUUACGGCUAGGGCAACACACGUGCUACAAUGGUUAGGACAAUGAGAAGCGAUACCGCGAGGUGGAGCAAAUCUAUAAACCUAAUCUCAGUUCGGAUAGCAGUCUGCAACUCGACUGCUUGAAGCUGGAAUCACUAGUAAUCGUAAAUCAGCUAUGUUACGGUGAAUACGUUCCACGGGUCU
RNAcentral lists this ribosomal RNA (406 nucleotides) under uncultured bacterium. Its description in RNAcentral is "bacterial SSU rRNA". It matches the Rfam family "Bacterial small subunit ribosomal RNA", at positions 976 to 1381 of the family's 1533-position model. The record is from RNAcentral.